This 468-nucleotide ribosomal RNA is filed under the name uncultured bacterium. Its description in RNAcentral is "partial 16S ribosomal RNA". It matches the Rfam family "Bacterial small subunit ribosomal RNA", at positions 28 to 507 of the family's 1533-position model. The record is from RNAcentral.
GACGAACGCUGGCGGCGUGCUUAACACAUGCAAGUCGAACGGAAAGGCCCUGCUUUUGUGGGGUGCUCGAGUGGCGAACGGGUGAGUAACACGUGAGUAACCUGCCCUUGACUUUGGGAUAACUUCAGGAAACUGGGGCUAAUACCGGAUAGGAGCUCUUGCUGCAUGGUGGGGGUUGGAAAGAUUCGGCGGUUGGGGCUGGACUCGCGGCUUAUCAGCUUGUUGGUGGGGUAGUGGCUUACCAAGGGUUUGACGGGUAGCCGGCCUGAGAGGGUGACCGGCCACAAUGGGACUGCGAGACGGCCCAGACUGCUACGGGAGGCAGCAGUGGGGAAUAUUGCACAAUGGGCGGAAGCCUGAUGCAGCAACGCCGCGUGCGGGAUGACGGCCUUCGGGUUAUAAACCGCUUUCGCCUGUGACGAAGCGUGAGUGACGGUAAUGGGUAAAGAAGCACCGGCUAACUACGUG